This 435-nucleotide ribosomal RNA is filed under the name uncultured bacterium. RNAcentral describes it as "bacterial SSU rRNA". It matches the Rfam family "Bacterial small subunit ribosomal RNA", at positions 29 to 509 of the family's 1533-position model. The record is from RNAcentral.
AGCGAACGCUGGCGGCAGGCCUAACACAUGCAAGUCGAACGCGUGUAGCAAUACACGAGUGGCAGACGGGUGAGUAACACGUGGGAACGUACCUUUCGGUUCGGAAUAACUCAGGGAAACUUGUGCUAAUACCGGAUACGCCUUUACGGGGAAAGAUUUAUCGCCGAAAGAUCGGCCCGCGUCUGAUUAGCUUGUUGGUGAGGUAACGGCUCACCAAGGCGACGAUCAGUAGCGGUCUGAGAGGAUGAUCAGCCACAUUGGGACUGAGACACGGCCCAAACUCCUACGGGAGGCAGCAGUGGGGAAUAUUGGACAAUGGCGAAAGCCUGAUCCAGCCAUGCCGCGUGAGUGAUGAAGGCCCUAGGGUUGUAAAGCUCUUUCGGCGGGGACGAUAAUGACGGUACCCGCAGAAGAAGCCCCGGCUAACUUCGUGCC